This 253-nucleotide ribosomal RNA is filed under the name uncultured bacterium. RNAcentral's name for it is "partial 16S ribosomal RNA". It matches the Rfam family "Bacterial small subunit ribosomal RNA", at positions 524 to 776 of the family's 1533-position model. The record is from RNAcentral.
UACGGAGGGUGCGAGCGUUUUUCGGAAUUACUGGGCGUAAAGCGCGUGUAGGCGGCCUCUUAAGUCUGGUGUGAAAUCCCGGGGCUUACCCCCGGAAGUGCAUUGGAUACUGGGAGGCUCGAGUACCGGAGAGGAGGGUGGAAUUCCUGGUGUAGCGGUGAAAUGCGUAGAUAUCAGGAGGAACACCGGUGGCGAAGGCGGCCCUCUGGACGGAUACUGACGCUGAGAAGCGAAAGCGUGGGGAGCAAACAGG